Molecule: transfer RNA, 74 nt
Organism: Desulfuromonas sp. DDH964
Lineage: Bacteria; Pseudomonadati; Thermodesulfobacteriota; Desulfuromonadia; Desulfuromonadales; Desulfuromonadaceae
Rfam family: tRNA
About the family: Transfer RNA (tRNA) molecules are approximately 80 nucleotides in length. Their secondary structure includes four short double-helical elements and three loops (D, anti-codon, and T loops).
Source: Rfam
CGCGGGGUGGAGCAGUCUGGUAGCUCGUCGGGCUCAUAACCCGAAGGUCGGAGGUUCAAAUCCUUCCCCCGCAA